Molecule: ribosomal RNA, 467 nt
Filed under: uncultured bacterium
Lineage: Bacteria
Description: partial 16S ribosomal RNA
Rfam family: Bacterial small subunit ribosomal RNA
Source: RNAcentral
GAUGAACGCUGGCGGCGUGCUUAACACAUGCAAGUCGAACGGAAAGGCCCAAGCUUGCUUGGGUACUCGAGUGGCGGACGGGUGAGUAACACGUGGGUGAUCUGCCCUGCACUUCGGGAUAAGCCUGGGAAACUGGGUCUAAUACCGGAUAGGACCACUUCUUGGAUGUUGUGGUGGAAAGUUUUUUCGGUGUGGGAUGAGCUCGCGGCCUAUCAGCUUGUUGGUGGGGUAAUGGCCUACCAAGGCGUCGACGGGUAGCCGGCCUGAGAGGGUGUACGGCCACAUUGGGACUGAGAUGCGGCCCAGACUCCUACGGGAGGGAGCAGUGGGGAAUAUUGCACAAUGGGCGCAAGCCUGAUGCAGCGACGCCGCGUGGGGGAUGACGGCCUUCGGGUUGUAAACUCCUUUCGCUAGGGACGAAGCGUUUUGUGACGGUACCUGGAGAAGAAGCACCGGCUAACUACGUG